GUCUCCACCCCACCGCAAACCCCUCCUCCCUUCCCCUUCCAGAUCGCUGCCGCUGCCUCCUCCCCAUCAGCUCCACCGGCGAGCCCUUCCUCACCACAUCGCCGCCCCCGCGCCCUUUCAUCAGCAUCCAUGGCCUCCCCCGUGCCCUUCCUCACCGCAUCGCCACCCCAACCCCCUCCCUUCCUCUCCUCGAUGCUCCCCUCGCUCCGGGCCUUCAUCCUCUCCGGCCAGAUCAACCGGGCGCGGCCCCUACCCUAGGCAGGGAGGGCGGAUCACUGCUGCGCGGGCGCACGGGAAGGGGCGGCGGCGGAAGCGCAUUCCCAAGAUCUAGCCCGUCAAGCACCGUGUCAAAGUCUCUCCUUCGAGGAGCUCUAUGUGCGGGUGUGCGGAGGCGCUUGUGAGGGCGGUGGUGGCCUUCUUCGACGCCUUCCUCGUCGACGGCUUCCUCUUCUGGUUCCGCCGCCGCCGCCCCGCCCCGGCCCCGACAGCCCCGCCUCCGCCCACUGGGUAAGCCAACCCUACCUCUCCCUCUCCCUCGCGUCCGGCUCCUCUGUUCGUUCGUUCUUUGAUCCCAGGCGGUGAUGUUUUUAUUUUUUGGUGCAUUCGUGUCUGUGCAAGAUCCGCUCGUGCCCAAGGACUGGACAGGGGAGGCGCUCCCGGCCUCGGACGAAGAGAAAGGUGCCCUGGAUUUCUCGGUUUUGCAGAGAGCACAUUGUCGAACCAGCAGUUGGCAGAUGGCGAUGACACAGAUGAGGAGCUUAGGCGAGAGGUCAUUGUUGUGAAGGCCGUCACGGGAAGGCGUGGGGGAUUUGGCACAAGGCCGAUGAUCUAGUCUACGCUCUCUCCUCCAUGGAAAGACCUAUUUUCUCUGAUGAUUGUUUUGAAGUGGCAGACCAUGUGAACAACUUGGGCACCAUCGCGGGCUCGGGCACCAAGGAGUUCAUGGAGGUGCUGCAGGGUUGGGGCCGUGGCUGCGCCAACAGGUCUAUCUGGUGAUACUCGAUUAGGGCCCCAUGUGUUUGAACAACUAGUCAAGUAACAUGGGUCCCCACUGGUGGUACAACGUCAAGUUUGGAAGCAGCUGGAGUGAAUGUGAGAAAAGUUGAACAACUUACACAUUUUCCUGAAAUGAUCUGGCAGCACCGCCGCGUCGACGACGAAGGUGGUGACCGCGGCGGCGAGCGGCGCGAGUUGGUGGCUGCGGGACUGGACGGCACGGCUCAUAUAUGUGCUUCUGACUAAUCCAGCUUCUUUUGGUCUAGCUGGGCAUUACUUUGAGUUCAUAUAUGUGCUUGUCACUCCAUAGGAGCGCAUGAUAGAGUACUAAAUGGACAAGUAUCUGCAAUGUUCAGCGUCAAAGAUGAUGCUUACCAGAUGUUCUACAUAAGCCCCAUCCAUAUCAUCGGCAUGAAGUUAGAAUUUUUCCUUCAUUCGUCAAAAGUUUGUGUACAAGGAACUCGAGGAGAAGAAUCUUUAAGUAAAUAAUUUAUAUAGAUCAGGAUCUUAUGUUUUCCAGGUGGCUGCUGCUGUGACCAAAGAUCAGCCUGGAGAUGUGCAUCAUAGUCUUAGUUGAUGUUGCCACCAUGUUUUUGUGCCUGUGUAUUUGAUUGUAUGUACACAUGUUAUACUAUAGAGCUUGAUGCUCAUCGGCUCAUGUGACAUAUUGUACACCUGUAGAGCUUGUUAUACUGUGAUCGCAUUUGUAUGUGUUGAUGUAACAGAUUGUUGCUUCUUGUUAUUUGAAGUAUUACACAUGUUUUCUUUC
Aegilops tauschii subsp. strangulata is the source of this 1765-nucleotide non-coding RNA. NCBI's taxonomy places the organism in Eukaryota, Viridiplantae, Streptophyta, Magnoliopsida, Poales, Poaceae. The record is from RefSeq and is a predicted model, not a curated record.